ACUUUCUUUUGCUUCCGGGUUCUUGCCAAUGACGUCAUUGUUUAUAGUGCCGCUUAUCGUCAAGGUGGCUGUCUUGCAUAAUUGGUUGCUAACGCUGCAUCGAUCGAAACUUCUACACAAGAUUCCAUGACCGCACUUGCACGUAACAUCCACUCAACGGUCCGAUUUUUGGCCCACUGAACCUCUGACAUUCCACACCAGAAGACAACAUACAUGAUGGCAAGUCAAGCAUUAACUGAUGCAGAUGUGGAGGACAGUUCACCGGAGCAGGCAGCCUGAAACCGUCCUCAAUGGCCUUGAUCACCUACGACAUUGGACGAUGAGAAAAGCCAUUAGUUUAGCCCUCAUUUCACCUCUUUAAACACAAGAGCGGGACCUCAUCCCUCCAGACGUCUUCAAUGGUCCUUUGCUCCUCCAUCGAGCUAACACCGUUCCCAUUCAAGAACCAUUCAGCCUAACACCUCACCGGGGAUUUAAUCUCAUCCAUCCUGCUCCUG
Molecule: long non-coding RNA, 497 nt
Organism: Doryrhamphus excisus (bluestripe pipefish)
Lineage: Eukaryota; Metazoa; Chordata; Actinopteri; Syngnathiformes; Syngnathidae
Source: RefSeq, a predicted model, not a curated record